RNAcentral lists this ribosomal RNA (324 nucleotides) under uncultured bacterium. RNAcentral describes it as "bacterial SSU rRNA". It matches the Rfam family "Bacterial small subunit ribosomal RNA", at positions 28 to 337 of the family's 1533-position model. The record is from RNAcentral.
GGUGAACGCUGGCGGCAGGCCUAACACAUGCAAGUCGAGCGGCAGCGGGUUCCCGCGAGGGGAUGCCGGCGAGCGGCGGACGGGUGAGGAACACAUCGGAAUCUGCCUGGUUGUGGGGGAUAACGUAGGGAAACUUACGCUAAUACCGCAUGAGACCCUGAGUCGACGGACUGGGGGUNAAAGUGAGGGACCUUCGGGCCUCACGCGACCAGAUGAGCCGAUGUCGGAUUAGCAGGUUGGCGGGUAACGGCCCGCCAAGGCGACGAUCCGUAGCUGGUCUGAGAGGAUGAUCAGCCACGCUGGGACUGAGACACGGCCCAGACU